RNAcentral lists this ribosomal RNA (253 nucleotides) under uncultured bacterium. RNAcentral's name for it is "partial 16S ribosomal RNA". It matches the Rfam family "Bacterial small subunit ribosomal RNA", at positions 524 to 776 of the family's 1533-position model. The record is from RNAcentral.
UACGGGGGGGGUAAGCGUUGUUCGGAAUUACUGGGCGUAAAGGGCUCGUAGGCGGCUUUGUAAGUCAGAGGUGAAAGCCUGGAGCUUAACUCCAGAACUGCCUUUGAGACUGCAUCGCUCGAAUCCGGGAGAGGUGAGUGGAAUUCCGAGUGUAGAGGUGAAAUUCGUAGAUAUUCGGAAGAACACCAGUGGCGAAGGCGGCUCACUGGACCGGCAUUGACGCUGAGGUGCGAAAGCGUGGGGAGCAAACAGG